This is a long non-coding RNA of Hibiscus syriacus, 444 nucleotides long. RefSeq lists it as uncharacterized. NCBI's taxonomy places the organism in Eukaryota, Viridiplantae, Streptophyta, Magnoliopsida, Malvales, Malvaceae. The record is from RefSeq and is a predicted model, not a curated record. The transcript is spliced from 4 exons.
CCCGCAUUCCAAACACUCUUUCCCUCUAUAUUGGUCUCCUCAUUUUCAUUUAAUCUUACUGUCAAUGACUCAAAUCAGUCGUUUAAGAACAUUGCUUGGUUAAGAACUUGCUCUUGGGCUGUACUAAAGCUCAAAAGAAAUGGAUCGAAAUAGUUCUGGUGGUGAUGCUGAAUUUUGACUGGGAUACUGAAGAUGAACUGGAAAUUGAUAAUUCCUCCUCUCGCUCAGGAGUGUCACUUACCAAUGGGGAAGCUGUCUUGGGUACACGGAGGUGAGCUCGUCUGCUGAUUCUUCCAAUUCCAAGUUAAUUGAUCAUUUUGUUGGAAUGGGGUUUUCCGAGGAACUUGUAGCAAAAGCCAUUGAGGAAAAUGGUAAAGCUUCUAGGUCUUUUCUACUUGGAGAAUAAGUUUAAAUCAUAAGCUCAUUUAUGAUUCUGCUUUACUA